Long non-coding RNA from Chelonia mydas (Green sea turtle), 5535 nucleotides. RefSeq lists it as uncharacterized. Lineage: Eukaryota; Metazoa; Chordata; Testudines; Cheloniidae. The record is from RefSeq and is a predicted model, not a curated record. The transcript is spliced from 4 exons.
CCACCUGAAAGACAUGAAGGUAAGCACACUACUUUAUCCGCCUUCCAGUUAGCAUUUACAUACCAUAAAGUUUGCUAAACAGAACUAAAAUUAGGAAAUAAAAUGGCUUGGAGAGAAUUGAGGAUACCAAAUAUUAAGUAUCAAAAUAUUUUAAAAUUACCAUCAAGAAAUUCAAAGUUAUGGUUUACUUUUUAAUCUGGGUCAGAACUGUGUAUUUUACAAACAUAUGGCUACAAAUCAUUCUUAAGAAACGUGUCCUGUGCCCUCCAUUUUAUCUAUGAUGCUGCACAUUCACAAUUUAAAUAGAACCCCUGUGACCUGUUGGUGUCAUGUAGGCAGUGACACACUCCUUGCAUUUAAAAAAAGGUUCUCAAUCAAGAAAGUGGGUGCCAAUUUGGUACUUCUACAGUUGCACUGCAGUACAGCUAAGAAACUUAAGAACUGCUGUGAUCCAAGGAUCUCUUGAUGCCAACUCGCAGAAGGCACAGAGGUACAUAGGGAUACAAGGAUCCCAUGGGUUCACUGAAGAAUAUCAUGUCAGGUCUGUAAUGAAAGCUUGUGUCAUACUAGUAAUCAAUCAUUGUGAACUGUGUACACAGAACACACAUGAAGAGUUAUGUAUAUAUUCUAAAAAUUACGUUCUCUGAGAGUUAAGACAGGUCACUCAAAAACUGUGCAUCAGGAGACAAACUUCUACAGGCAGGGAGUGGAAGACACGUGUCUCCAUGGUGGAUCACUGUGUAUAGUAUGUCAUACAGUAGAAAUUUAUUAGCAUUCUAAGUCAAAUGUUGAUGAAGAGCUGACAGAGAUUUGAGAAGGAAAUUAACAGGAGGAAAUAAAUAGCAGGGGUAACCGUAUUUCAGGUAAACAUCAGAGAUAUGUUCUUAUGUAUUUGGGAGAGCAGAGAGGCACCCUGAAAUCCUUCUCCAGGGAAGGAAACUGACAGUGGGAUUUGCUUCAUGAAAAAGGGAUCUCAGCCAGGCUUGGCUGAAAAUGCUGGGAAGAACGUUGGUUGAGAUAAAUUUCUCUAGUCAGAAGAAAACACGGUUGCUAAUCUUUCUGUAACUGUUGUUCUUCAAGAUGUGUUGCUCAUGUCCAUUCAUGUUAUGGUGUGCAUGUCAUUUGCAGAGUUGCCAGAGAUUUCUCUCUCAGUGGUAUCCAUAGGGCUGGCUCUAGCACCCUCUGGUGCACCACGAUCCUUCUUGCCAGAGAAUUCUGAAAGAGUGGCAGGAGGGUGGGUCAUGGAAUAGACAUGAGCAACACAUCUUGAAAAACAACAGAUACGGAAAGGUUAGUUACUGUUCUUUUCUUCUUCAAGUGCUUGCUCAUGUCUGUUCCAUGUUAGGUGACUCAUAAGUGGUACCCAAGGAGCUGGGCUCAGAGUACAUGGACAUGCAGAUUGUAGCACUGCUCUUCUGAACUUGGCAUUCUCUCUAGCCUGCUGUGGGGAUGGCGUAGUGGGAAGAGAAGGUAUGCAAUGACGACCAUGUGGCAGCCCUGCAGGUGCCUCAGAUUGGGACCUGGGCCAGAAAUGCCACUGAUGAAGCUUGAGCUCUGGUCGAAUAGGUGGUCAAGAUGGCAGGAGGUGGUACACCUGCCUGCUCGUAGCAUGUAUGAAUACAGGAGGUGAUCCAGGAUGAGAUUCUCCGGGCUGAAACCGGUAGGCCAUUCAUCCUGUCUGCUACUGCCAAGAAGAGCUGUGUGAAUUUACUGAACGGCUUGCUCCUCCCAAUGUACAAGGCCAGGGCACUUCUAAUGCCGCUCCCUGCAUUCCUGUGUGGUUUUGGGAAGAAAACUGGCAGGAAAAUAGUAUGGUUAUUAUGAAGCUGCAAGACCACCUCUGGAAGGAGCUGGGUGGGAGUGCAGUUGAACCUUGUCCUUAAAGAACAUUGCAUAAAGUGUUUCUAAGGUAAGGACCCUAAUUUCUGAGACCCUCCUGGCUGAGGUAAUUGCCACCAGGAAGGCGACUUUCCAGAGAAAUACAACAGAGGGCAUGAUGCUAGCAGCUCAAAGGGAGGGCCAGUGAGUCUGGAUAGGACCAGGUUAAGACCCACAGUAGAAAUGGUUCACAAAUUUGAGGGUAAAGUCUCUCUACCCCUUUAAGGAAGUGAAUGGACAUCUCAUGCAAGACCACCGACCUACCGUCCACCGAAGGGUGGAAGACAGAUUGCCACUAGAUGUACCUUGAUAGAUGUGAGGGCCAGACCCUGUUGCUUAAGAUGGAGCAGGUAUUCCAGCACAGCUGGAGGGAUGACUGAGUCAGUGAGAGACCUUGUUGAGAAGACCACACCAAGAAAUCCUUCCAUUUGGCUGGAAGGACCUUGGGUACUAGAACUGGAGAAAACACAUAGAAUAGGAUCUCUGUCCAUAGAAGCAGGAAGGCAUCGGAGAGCCUGGACCGCGAUCAGUAAUGAGAAAAACUGCUGACAUUUUUUAUUCUGCCUGGUUGCAAACAAGUGUACCUGGGGAGACCCCCACCUCUGGAAGAUGGAUCUCAUCACCUCUGGCUGAAGGGACCACUCAUGAUGAGAGGAGAAAGACCUGCUGAUGUGAUCUGCCAGGGUAUUCCAGACUCCUGGAAAAUGGGAAACCUUGAGGUGAACUGAGUGUUUCAUACAGAAGUCCCACAGACCAAUGGCCUCCUAGCACAGGGUAAAGGAGUGUGCUCCUCCCUCUCUGUUGAUGUAAAACAUGGCUGCCAUGUUGUCCAUAAACACUCGCACAACUCUGCCAGUGAUCUGGGGAACGAACACUUGGCAAGCUAAGCAGACCACUCUGAGCUCCCUGACAUUUAUGUGUAGGGAGAGUUCUUCCAGGGACCACAGGCCCUGAGUCCUGAUGUGCUUGAGGCGAGCUCCCCAACCUAGAUCGGAUGCAUCUGAAAUGAAAGAUACUGAAGGCUUCGGGGGAGAGGUUUGUGACAAAGGAAAGGCCUGCAGCCAUCUACCGGGGAUCCUUCACCAGUCAAGGGAGGCAAGGACUGGGGUGGGAAGUGUAAGCACUGAGUCCAAGUGGUGUCCGUUUGGUGAUUACACUGGGCCAACCAAGCAUGCAGGCGUCUGAGGUGUGGCCUUGCGUGCUGUACCAUGUAAGUGCACUCAGCCAUGUGUCCCGAAAGUUUGAGGAAAAACAGGGGUGUCGUGAUGGGGUGGGCCUUAACCUUGGAUAUCAGAGCCGAUAUGGUCUGGAAUUGAACCUCUGCAAGGAAGGCUCUGGCCUGGGUUGAGUCUAGUACUGCUCUGAUAAACUCUAUUCUCUGGAUGGGAAUGAGAGUCGACUUUUGCUCAUUUAACAAUGGGCCCAGUGCACGGAAGGUGGCUUGGACCAGGCUGAUACUGUUCUUCAGUUGAGCCUCUGAACGACCCUUGAUCAGCCAGUUGUCGAGGUACAGGUAGACUCGGACACCUUGCCUUCUGAGGAAGGCCACUACCACCAUCAUUCCGUAAAAACCUGAGAGGCUGCUGACAGACCAAAGGGGAGGACAGUGAAUUGGUAAUGAGUUUGGUUUACAAUAAAUCUGAGGAACCUUCUGUGGCCUUAGAAGAUGAAAAUGUGGAAAUAGGCAUCUUUCAAGUUGAGGGCAGCAUACCAGUCCUCUGGAUCCAGGGAGGGAAUAAUGGAGGCCAGGGAGACCAUGCGGAACCUCAGUUUCUUGAAAUAACUGUUGCGGCAAUGCAGGUCCAAGAUGGGUUGAAGACCCCUUUUGGCUUUCAGGAUUAGGAAAUAUUAGGAGUAAAACCCCUUCCCUCUCAAGUUCUGAUGCACCUUUUCCACAGCCCCUACUCACAGGAGGGCUUGGACCUCUUGUGCUAGAAGUUGCUUGUGAGAAGGGACCCUAAAGAGGGAUGGGGAUAGGUGGUGGUGGAAGAAAACUUAGGGGUGUAAUCUUCCUCCACCAUAUUCAGCAUCCAGUGGCCUCAGGUGAUGAGGGACCUCACCGGGCUGAACUGGGAGAGUCAGUCUGAAAACAAAAGGGGGGCAGAAUCCGAUGCGGGAAUUGAUAUAAUGCUCUCGGGUGUGCUUUCAGAAGUUCUGUUUUGGGCCUCCUGGGAUCUGUGUGAUCCUGGUAGGAAGUUGAGGUAGACUGGACAGUUGUCUAUACUUGUAACUCCUGCACAGUUUCUUGAACAGGUCCUGUAAAGACAGUGGAGCCAAGAAGCAGGCCGAUUGCUGGGGCUAAGGACUAAGGCCAGGAGCAUCGCCUCAUGACCAUUGUGGAAGCUGUUGUUAUGGCUGUUGUGUGAGCUGCACCUAGAGCUGCUUGGAGUGAGGCCCUGGCUAUGAUUUUCCCUUCCUCUAUCAGGGUGAAAAACUCUUGCCUGGAGUCCUGAGGCAGUGAAUCUUUAAACUUUGCCGUAGAGUCCCAAAUAUAGGAAUCAUUCGUCCGCAGCAUGGCUUGUUGGUUGGAAAUGCGAAGCUGUAAUCCACUCGUUGAAUACAUUUUUCUGCCAAACAGAUAUAUCUAAGUGCUGUAUGUUAAGAACGCUGGUAAUCAUGAGGUGAAAUUUACAAGCUGGGACAUACUAUUCCUGUGAGACUAACAAAUUUAUUAGAGCAUAAGCUUUCAUGGGCUACAGCCCACUUCAUCGGAUGCAUAGAAUGACCCUUGCCGAGACUGUCAAGGCCUUAGUAGAGGGGGCAUCUGGAACUGUUUCGACACAGACUGAGGCAUAUGUAACCCCAAUGAGCCUGAGUGUCCUUCAGUCUGUGCAGCCUCACAUCCAUCUGUUCUGCAAAGAGUCCAAUCCCAUCAAACGGGAAAUCAUGGAUCAAGGACUGUAUCUCCUGGGACAGGCCUGCAGACCGAAGCCAGAAACAACGCUUCAUGGCCAGCGCUGAGGCGACCACUCUGGCUGCCGAAUUGGCCACAUCCCAUGCCAUUUGGAGGGAACACCAAGCUGCUGUAGUACCCUACUCAACAAGGGCCCCAAAUUUUGGGGCCGCAUCCUGGGGCAUGGAGUCCUUGAAUUUAUGGAGGGAGUCCCAUAAGUUGAAGUUAUCUCUUUUGGAAGAGCUUAGUGGUUUGCGACUCUGAACUGGAGACUGGCUGUGAAAUACAUUUUCCUUCCGAAAAGUUCCAGUCUCUUGGCCUCCUUAUUUUUGGGGGUGGAACUAGAUUGCCCUUGCUUGUCUUUUUUGUUGGCCACAGAAACUAUCAACAACCCUGGGGGGCAGUUGAGCGUACAAGUAUUCGAACCCCUUGGCUGGGACGAAAUGCUUCUUUUCAGCCCUCUUGAAGGUGGGUGUAAUUGAGGACGGGAUUUGCCAGAGGGCUUUGGCGAUCUUUAGAAUCCCUUUGUGUACGGGCGGGGGUAGAUGCAGAGAGCACAUUAAACAAAGUGUCUGAUUGCUCCACCAUCUCUUCCACCUCUAGGCCUAACUCAGUGGCCACCCUUUGGAGCAGGGCUUGGUGCUCCUUAAAAUUGUCCAGUGGGCUAAUUCAUAGAUACUAAGGUCAGAAGGGACCAUUAUGAUCAUCUAGUCUGACCUCCUGCACAAUGCAGGCCACAGAAUUUCACCCACCACUCCUGCAAA